UAUAUUCAUAUAUAGGUCUUAUUUUAAUCCAAAUUUUUCCUUUUAUUCCUCCUAACCCUAGCUGUCGUCAUUAGCUCUUAAUCGCUGUUAAUCUUUGAACAAAUCAUCAUCAAACUCUUGUGUUCAAUCGCGUAAUAUUUGGAUCCGUUUCGUCCUAGUUGAAGUAGACUCGCGCUUCUACGAUUCCCAACCUUGUUUUCGCUAAAUGACUCGUCGACUACUCGUGCUUCGGAGUCGAAUCAGGUUUUGUCGCUUGCCAGGUUUUCACAUGGAUUAGCAAGCAGUGAGUUUGUAGUGCUAUUUACCGCUUUAUUAAGUACCAAAAUUUAUUUUUAGUAUUAUAAAUGUAUUGAAUUUUUUUAAGCGAUUAUGGAUCUGGAUUGAAACGAGCUACUCGAUAGGCUUGUAUCGAGACUGUGUGCACCGGUAUAUACUCUGGGAUCUGCAGACUAUGGUUUUGCUUACGCUGGUAAUUUGACAAGGAAUUGUUCCCGUCCACUUUGGGUUUAUUUUCGGUAUGAUAUGUCAUACUCACGCUGGGAUCAUUUCAAAACUGUAUUUCUAUAAUCAUAUUAUAUUAGUAUAAAAUGUUUUGAUUUAA
Long non-coding RNA from Mercurialis annua (annual mercury), 601 nucleotides. RefSeq lists it as uncharacterized. Lineage: Eukaryota; Viridiplantae; Streptophyta; Magnoliopsida; Malpighiales; Euphorbiaceae. The record is from RefSeq and is a predicted model, not a curated record. The transcript has 3 exons.